GCUGCCCCUAGAGGCUUUCUAGGUUUGGCUGCAAUGUCACAUGUGCUUCAGUAAGUGGCAGACUGGAGAGAGGCCAUGCCUAGGUUCAGUGUUCUGGCCUGUGAACAUCUGAAUGAUUAGUAGUCUUAACAUU
Molecule: small nucleolar RNA, 133 nt
Organism: Mus spicilegus (steppe mouse)
Lineage: Eukaryota; Metazoa; Chordata; Mammalia; Rodentia; Muridae
Product: predicted gene, 22438
Source: Ensembl